CUGCCCAGAUUUACGCAUCUCUCUCUCUCUCGGUCUGUGGCUUUUUUAUUGAAAGUUUUGAAAACAAAAAUUCUCAAAUCCUUGAAUAACCCUAAUAGGCUAAUCCCCAACCUUUUUAUUCUUUUCCCUAAUUACCAUCUCAAAGGAGAUCGUCGGCCACAAACAAUAAAGAAGAACAAGUGAAGGUUGAUGAGUUUCGAUCGGCUGUCGGCAACUCCUUGGAUAAUUCGAUUCGAACCCCAUUUUUAGCCAACAACUCAUUUCUUUCGAUUAUUGGUUAGUAAUUGUGGCCCUUUUUAAUACUUGUGUCAAGAUUUAAAAUAACCCUUUUUUGUAUUAAAACAAUUUUUUUAGGCAAGGUGUUUUGAUGUUUUAAUUUUUUAAAUUUUUUUUUUUUUUGCUAUGUGUAAUGUAUUUGAUUAACAAUAAUUUUUUAUCUAUGUUAUGUUUAUGGAUUAUAUUAUUAUGCUACAUUUUUUUUUUUUUGCAAAAGGUAUGCAUUUGGUAUUCGAAGUCUCCAAUUCCCUGUUCAUGAUCAUCCAUCGGAUUCGGAUCCAAAUGCAUUUGCGACUAUAAAUAAUUGGAAUUAAUUAGGCGUGUAAAUUUUGCUAAACUUCAACAGUAGUAUUAAUUUAUAGAAAUAAAAUGAGGUAGAAAGUCUUUAACACGUCUUCCAACAUUUCAUUCUGAAUUUGAAAUGAUGUUCACCGGAUUAUAUAAGCAUUUAACAAAUAACAAAUGAAUAGAAAUAUAAGCAUAACUAAUUAAUGUAGUGUAUAGUACAAAAUAGUUGAAAAAUAAGCGAGGUUUAGUAUUCUUGUUGAUGAAGUGUAGUACAAAAUAGAUUAAUGAGGUUUUGAAAAAUAACUGAUUAAACAUAACUGAUUAAUGCAAAGUUUAGUAUUCUUGUUGAUGAAGCUCGAGAUGCAUCUUCACAAGAACAAAUGAUUAUUAUCUUGAGGUUUGUGAGUGGUAAUGGAAUUUUGACAGAACGUUUUUUUUGCAAUCAAAAGUGUUAGUGACACUACAUCGUUGAAUCUUAAGAAUCAAAUAUCUGAUGUUUUUGUUCAACCUUCAACUGCAAAACAUGAGAGGUCAAUGGUAUGAUAGUGCUAAUAACAUGCGUAGUGCUUGGAAUGGACUACAAGCAUUAUUUCUUAGAGAUUGUCUGUAUGCGUAUUAUGUCCAUUGUUUUGCCCAUCGUUUACAACUCAUGUUAGUUUCAGCAGCUAGGGAUGUCGCAGAUAUUAAUUCAUUCUUUUCAGAUUUGGACAAUGUUAUUAAUAUGAUUACAUCAUCUCCUAAGCGCAUCAAUGAGUUGAAAAGUUUCCAAAAAAAAGAAAUUGAACAUUUGUUCGAAAUUGGAGAACGAAAGACUAGAAGUGGGGCUAAUCAAGUUGGUAACUUGCAACGAGCUGGAGGUACCCGUUGGUCUUCUCAUUACAACUCUGUAAAGAAUUUGAUUGAUAUGUAUGCUGCAACUUGCAAGGUGCUUGAGUAUCUUGGUGAUCAUUCUCCAAAUGUAAGAACUCAAUCUGAAGUGG
Molecule: long non-coding RNA, 1544 nt
Filed under: Olea europaea subsp. europaea
Lineage: Eukaryota; Viridiplantae; Streptophyta; Magnoliopsida; Lamiales; Oleaceae
Source: RNAcentral